Molecule: transfer RNA, 84 nt
Filed under: Phycisphaerae bacterium
Lineage: Bacteria; Pseudomonadati; Planctomycetota; Phycisphaerae
Also listed under: 2 other names
Description: tRNA-Leu
Rfam family: tRNA
About the family: Transfer RNA (tRNA) molecules are approximately 80 nucleotides in length. Their secondary structure includes four short double-helical elements and three loops (D, anti-codon, and T loops).
Source: RNAcentral
GCCGGAGUGGCGGAAUUGGCAGACGCGCAGGAUUCAAAAUCCUGUUCUGGCAACAGAGUGUGGGUUCGAUUCCCACCUCCGGCA